GACGAACGCUGGCGGCGUGCUUAACACAUGCAAGUCGAACGGAAAGGUCCUGCUUUUGUGGGGUGCUCGAGUGGCGAACGGGUGAGUAACCCGUGAGUAACCUGCCCUUGACUUUGGGAUAACUUCAGGAAACUGGGGCUAAUACCGGAUAGGAGCUCCUGCUGCUUGGUGGGGGUUGGAAAGUUUCGGCGGUUGGGGAUGGACUCGCGGCUUAUCAGCUUGUUGGUGGGGUGGUGGCUUACCAAGGCUUUGACGGGUAGCCGGCCUGAGAGGGUGACCGGCCACAUUGGGACGGAAAUGAGACCCGGACUCCUACGGGAGGCAGCGGUGGGGAAUAGUGCACAAUGGGCGGAACCCUGAUGCAGCAACGCCGCGUGGGGGAUGACGGCCAUCGGGUUGGAAACCGCUUUCGCCUGUGACGAAGCGUGAGUGACGGUAAUGGGUAAAGAAGCACCGGCUAACUACGUG
RNAcentral lists this ribosomal RNA (468 nucleotides) under uncultured bacterium. RNAcentral describes it as "partial 16S ribosomal RNA". It matches the Rfam family "Bacterial small subunit ribosomal RNA", at positions 28 to 507 of the family's 1533-position model. The record is from RNAcentral.